CCCUUAGAUGUUCUGGGCUGCACGCGCGCUACACUGAUGCGCUCAACGAGUUUUAACCUUGCCUGGAAAGGUUGGGUAAUCUUUUUAAAACGCAUCGUGAUGGGGAUAGAUUAUUGCAAUUAUUAAUCUUGAACGAGGAAUUCCUAGUAAACGCAGAUCAUCAGUCUGCAUUGAUUACGUCCCUGCCCUUUGUACACACCGCCCGUCGCACCUACCGAUUGAAUGGUCCGGUGAAGCCUCGGGAAUGUGACCAGUUCGCUUCAUUGUGAGUUGGUUGCGUGAACUUGUCUAAACCUUAUCAUUUAGAGGAAGGUGAAGUCGUAACA
This 326-nucleotide ribosomal RNA is filed under the name uncultured eukaryote. RNAcentral's name for it is "partial 18S ribosomal RNA". It matches the Rfam family "Eukaryotic small subunit ribosomal RNA", at positions 1470 to 1796 of the family's 1831-position model. The record is from RNAcentral.